RNAcentral lists this ribosomal RNA (1888 nucleotides) under Salmonella enterica subsp. enterica serovar Bovismorbificans. RNAcentral's name for it is "partial 23S ribosomal RNA". It matches the Rfam family "Bacterial large subunit ribosomal RNA", at positions 1069 to 2925 of the family's 2925-position model. Lineage: Bacteria; Pseudomonadati; Pseudomonadota; Gammaproteobacteria; Enterobacterales; Enterobacteriaceae. The record is from RNAcentral.
AACGAUGUGGGAAGGCCCAGACAGCCAGGAUGUUGGCUUAGAAGCAGCCAUCAUUUAAAGAAAGCGUAAUAGCUCACUGGUCGAGUCGGCCUGCGCGGAAGAUGUAACGGGGCUAAACCAUGCACCGAAGCUGCGGCAGCGACACUGUGUGUUGUUGGGUAGGGGAGCGUUCUGUAAGCCUGCGAAGGUGGCCUGUGAGGGUUGCUGGAGGUAUCAGAAGUGCGAAUGCUGACAUAAGUAACGAUAAAGCGGGUGAAAAGCCCGCUCGCCGGAAGACCAAGGGUUCCUGUCCAACGUUAAUCGGGGCAGGGUGAGUCGACCCCUAAGGCGAGGCCGAAAGGCGUAGUCGAUGGGAAACGGGUUAAUAUUCCCGUACUUGGUGUUACUGCGAAGGGGGGACGGAGAAGGCUAUGUUGGCCGGGCGACGGUUGUCCCGGUUUAAGCGUGUAGGCUGGUUUUCCAGGCAAAUCCGGAAAAUCAAGGCUGAGGCGUGACGACGAGGCACUACGGUGCUGAAGCAACAAAUGCCCUGCUUCCAGGAAAAGCCUCUAAGCAUCAGGUAACAUCAAAUCGUACCCCAAACCGACACAGGUGGUCAGGUAGAGAAUACCAAGGCGCUUGAGAGAACUCGGGUGAAGGAACUAGGCAAAAUGGUGCCGUAACUUCGGGAGAAGGCACGCUGACAUGUAGGUGAAGUGAUUUACUCAUGGAGCUGAAGUCAGUCGAAGAUACCAGCUGGCUGCAACUGUUUAUUAAAAACACAGCACUGUGCAAACACGAAAGUGGACGUAUACGGUGUGACGCCUGCCCGGUGCCGGAAGGUUAAUUGAUGGGGUCAGCGCAAGCGAAGCUCCUGAUCGAAGCCCCGGUAAACGGCGGCCGUAACUAUAACGGUCCUAAGGUAGCGAAAUUCCUUGUCGGGUAAGUUCCGACCUGCACGAAUGGCGUAAUGAUGGCCAGGCUGUCUCCACCCGAGACUCAGUGAAAUUGAACUCGCUGUGAAGAUGCAGUGUACCCGCGGCAAGACGGAAAGACCCCGUGAACCUUUACUAUAGCUUGACACUGAACAUUGAGCCUUGAUGUGUAGGAUAGGUGGGAGGCUUUGAAGUGUGGACGCCAGUCUGCAUGGAGCCGGCCUUGAAAUACCACCCUUUAAUGUUUGAUGUUCUAACGUGGACCCGUAAUCCGGGUUGCGGACAGUGUCUGGUGGGUAGUUUGACUGGGGCGGUCUCCUCCUAAAGAGUAACGGAGGAGCACGAAGGUUGGCUAAUCCUGGUCGGACAUCAGGAGGUUAGUGCAAUGGCAUAAGCCAGCUUGACUGCGAGCGUGACGGCGCGAGCAGGUGCGAAAGCAGGUCAUAGUGAUCCGGUGGUUCUGAAUGGAAGGGCCAUCGCUCAACGGAUAAAAGGUACUCCGGGGAUAACAGGCUGAUACCGCCCAAGAGUUCAUAUCGACGGCGGUGUUUGGCACCUCGAUGUCGGCUCAUCACAUCCUGGGGCUGAAGUAGGUCCCAAGGGUAUGGCUGUUCGCCAUUUAAAGUGGUACGCGAGCUGGGUUUAGAACGUCGUGAGACAGUUCGGUCCCUAUCUGCCGUGGGCGCUGGAGAACUGAGGGGGGCUGCUCCUAGUACGAGAGGACCGGAGUGGACGCAUCACUGGUGUUCGGGUUGUCAUGCCAAUGGCACUGCCCGGUAGCUAAAUGCGGAAGAGAUAAGUGCUGAAAGCAUCUAAGCACGAAACUUGCCCCGAGAUGAGUUCUCCCUGAGACUUUAGGUCUCCUGAAGGAACGUUGAAGACGACGACGUUGAUAGGCCGGGUGUGUAAGCGCAGCGAUGCGUUGAGCUAACCGGUACUAAUGAACCGUGAGGCUUAACCUUACAACGCCGAAG